AGGAAGGCCACAGGUCUUGCUUGUUAACCGGCGAAAUCUAUGGGCCUCAAAGCAUGGGCUCAGGCCCAGUGAAGCCCUUGACCUCUGGAACAAAGAAUGGUCCAUGAGCCUGAAAGAAAUCCUUUCUGAGAUGUCUGUGCCAAAGAAAGCAGCAGACUUUUUGGCUAUGCUUUUUUGUUUUGUUUUGUUUUUUGUUUUUGGCUAUGUUUUUAUCUAAAGAGGAAAGUGAAACUCAUCUGAGCUGAGGGCCUGCCUCGUGGGACAGGGUCCAUCCUUCGCAAGGACACCAGAGGGGAAAUUAUGGCAAGAGAAAGAACUGAAAAAGGUACGUGACUACAUUCAAGGCACUUUCACAUUUGGAAAUGCAUUUAAUCACUGAAACCUUAUAAAAAAAGGAGGACCGAAUACUUAUUUUUACUUUAUUAAUGAGGUUCAGGGAGCUGCUAAUAAACCCUGGUCACUUUAAUUACACUUUCGAAAUUAUAGAAAAAAAUAACAUUACUUUGCUACAUUAAAAGAACGGGUAAAAAUUGGCUGUUUUAUUAGUUUAAAUCCUGUCAUGGUUCAGCAGUUAGCAAACCUGACUAGCAUCCACGAAGAUGCGGGUUCGAUCCCUGUUCUUGCUCAGUGAAUUAAGGAUCUGGCAUUGCCUUGAGCUGUUGUAUAGGUCGCAGAUGUGGUUCAGGUCCCGUGUUGCUGUGGCUCUGGUUCUGGCAUAGGCCAGCAGCUACAGUUCCAAUUGGACUCCUAGCCUGGGAACCUCCAUAUGCCGCUGGUGUGGCCCUAAAAAGACAAAAAGACCAAAAAUUAAUAAAAUUUUUAAAAAUCAGCCUGAAAAAUCACUUAACAUUCUCACAGAAUUAUUUUUUUAAGUUCCCAUAGGUCUGUGAUUAUUGUUAAUUGCUAUAGGCUGAUAACAUUUCCUAAUUCAUUUAGAUCCUUUUCCCUUGUUAGGUAUGAUGGUUAAAAGAGCUGAGGGGAAGUGUUCAUUUAUUUAUUGAACAAAUAUUUAAGUAGCUGCUCCUGUGUGGUCAAGUGCUGUGUUAGAUCCAGGACAUUCAAAAGUGAAUAAGAUGAACACAUUUGCUUUCACAGAGCAGCUCACAGCUUCCAGGGGAAUAUAGGCAGCAAGAGGCAAUUACGAGGCUGGCAACUACAAGGGCGGAUGUCCUGGAUGCUGUGGGAGCACAGAGCGGGGAGCUAACCUUCCCGCCACCAGUCAGCCCCUGCCUGCUGCCACAGCAAGGUCAGAAGAGCAGCUGCCAGUUAAGGUCAAGUCACUCCAGGAAGACUAGAAUGAGUUGAAUGGCCACAACUUAACCAUCUGCAAAACCAUUAUAGUGGCCAGACGUGAGCCAUCCAUGACUGUUUGAUAGAACUUGAGAAUUCAGGGGUCUUGGAGCUUCAGAUACUUUAGGAUUUGGAGCCCCAAACUAUUUUGAUUCCAUGAUAACUUUACCAAAGUCUUGUUUGCCAUUCCCUAGGCCCGAAGGGCCAAAACCAGCAAUGUUCAUACCUCUGUUGUCCUUGUGGUGACAUUGGUGAUGACAGCAACGGUGGUGCUGGUUUUCACAGCUUCAACAACUGAGCAUCUUUGUGCUCACUUGAUAAAUGUUAUUUCAUUGAUCUUCACAGAAGUCCUAUAGGUAGUUUUUUUGGGUCAGAAACUAAACCAGAGUUAGGUAACUUGCUUGUGCUCAGCUUACUAAUAAACAGAAGGAACCACUUCUCUAACUACAAGAAUUAUACCAUUCAGACUGUUAAGACCAGUGAGAUUUUGCUAGUUUUCCCCUAAAGAUGCCAGUGGUGGGUUAUUCUGUUUAACUUAUAUAUGCCCUGCUGCUUUUAAUAAAGUUGUUAAGGGAGUCCCUUGGUGGCCUACCAGUUAAGGAUUCGGUGCAGUCAUUGCUGUGGCACAGGUUUGAUUCCUGGCCCAGGGAAUUUCUGCAUGCUGAGGGUGUGGCCAAAAAAAAAAAAAGUGUUUGCGGUAACUUACAAUAAAAGCACUACAAUAUGGCUUAAAAAUAUAGGUACCAUUUAAUGGGAACUAAAGCCAAUGUGCUCACUGUUGCUGUGAUGCUCAGAUAGGCUAUGAGCUUCCCGGCAGCCAUGGUAAAAAUGGAGGUAUUGUAAGUUGCAAAGUUAUUAUUUUGGAGAUACAGUGCAUAUUUUUCCUGACACUAAUUUAGAAAAGUAAUUUUUUAUGAUGGUACUAAGUUAUGUAAAGAAUAAUAUUCUCAGAGUUCCAUGGUGGCUCAGCAUAUGGAGGUUCCCAGCCUAGGGGGGUCCAAUUGGCGUUGUAGCCCCCGGCCUACACCAGAGCCACAGCAAUGUGGGAUCCGAGUCACGUCUGCGACCUACACCACAGCUCACGGCAAUGCCGGAUCCUUAACCCACUGAGCAAGGGCAGGGACUGAACCCGCAACCUCAUGGUUCCUAGUCAGAUUCGUUAACCACUGCGCCACGAUGGGAACUCCCCAGUAGUUCAUUUCUUGCUCCAUGUAACAAAUGACCCAUCUAUGAGGCCUUUUCCUUCUCUGUCAGCUGAUCAUAAAGGAAUUUUCCUUGUGAAUAUAGAUAUGAGCUGGCGCUAGAGUGAUGGAUGAUGGCAAGGGGUCUCAGCCACCCGCUGAGCUGGUGCCGCUUCCCUGUGUGCUCAGGUGUUGCUCAUGCCCAAACCUGACAUCACUACUUCCAUCCUUCAAAGGAAUGCUGGUGAACCUACCUGAGCUUUGGCUUAGGGGGUAUAGGAUAAUCCAGCUCAUGAUGAGCGGCUUUGGUAGGAAUCAUUUCUAGAAUGGCCCCCUAAAUGUCCCGCCUUAAUCCUCAGAACUUUUGAAUAUGAGUGCUAUCCCUCCUGUGAUUGUUACCUGGCACAUUAAGAUAGGGGAGUUCCUGGUAUGGCUCAGUAGUAAUGAACCCGACUAGCAUCCAUGAGGAUUUGGGUUCAAUUCCUGCCUCGCUCAGUGGGUUAAGGAUCCAGCAUUGCUGUGAGUUUUGGUGUAGGUCACAGAUGGGGCUUGGAUCUGAUGUUGCUGUGGCUGUGGUGUAGGUCAGCAGCUGUAGCUCCAAUUCGACCCCUAGCCUGGAAAAUUCCAUAUGCCACAGGUACAGCCCUUGAAAAGCAAUAAAUAAGUAAGUAAGUAAGUAAAUAAAUAAAGAAAGAAAACUUAAGAUAAGAUUAUCCAGGUGGGCCUGGUCUAAUGACACAAGCCUUUCAAAGUGGAGAGCUUUCUCUGGUAGCAGAAGAAGUCUGAGGGAUUUGAAGUGGGGGGAAAUUAGAUGUAUUGUUGCUGGCUUGAGAAUGAUGGGGGCCACAUUAGAAGGAAUACAGGGGCCUUAAGGAACUGAGAAAUGCCCUCAGUUGACAGCCAACAAAAACAGUCCUACAACCUCAAGGAAUUAAAUUUGGCCAAAACUUGAAUAAGGCUGGAAGCAAUUUUUUUAUAAUUAAGAUAAUUUGAUUUACAAUGUUGUGCUGGUGUCUGCUGUCAUAAUACAUGUAUCGUUUGUGUCAUAUUUUAGAUUCCACAUGUAAGUGAUAUCAUGUGGUAUUUGUCCUUUUUUCUGACUUACUUCACUUAAUAUGAGACUCUCUAGUUGCUUCUGUGUUUCUGCAAAUGGCAUUUUUUUGUCCUAUUUAUGGCUGAGUAGUAUUCCAUUGUAUAUAUGUACCACAUCUUCUUAAUCCAUUUAUCUGUUGAUGGAUAUUUAUGUUGUUUCCAUGUCUUGGCUAUUGUGAAUAGUGCUGCAAUGAACAUGAGGGUGCAUGUAUCUUUUUGAAUUGUAGUUUUGUCUGGAUAUAUGCCCAGGAUUGGGAUUGCUGGGUCAUAUGGUAGUUCUAUAUUUAGUUUUAUGAGGUACCACAUACUGUUUUCCAUAGUGGUUGUACCAAUUUAUAUUCCCCAAAACAGCGUGGGAGGGUUCCCUUUUCUCCACAUCCUCUGCAGCAUUUGUUAUCUGUAGACUUGUUAAUGAUGGCCAUUCUGACCAGUGUGAGGAAGCAGAUUCUUACUUAGAGCCUCCAGUUAAGAGUUCAGCCUUGUCAACACCUUAAUUUUGGCCAAAUGGUACCCUAAGCAGAGAAUCUACCUGAGCCAUCCUGGACUUUUGACCCAUGUAACUGUUAAGCUAAUAAAUGUGUGUUCCUUUAAGCAGUUACAUUUGCAGUAAUUUGUUACACAUCAAUAGAAAUAUAAUACAGCAUCUCUGGCCACAUAGGCACUUGAUAUUCCAUGGUCAGCAAAUUCAGAAAUUCUGUCUCUACCAGGGCCCAGCUAUUUUUCAUAUGAAUAUAAUUCUGUGCUGUACAUGUCAUGGCUGUUCUCAGGUGUGUACAUUGUGAUUCUCCUACUGGGGCUUGCAAUGACUUCUACACAGCAUCUUCUUCUUCUGGAGGCCUGUCUAGCACCAUAGGGUCUUCUGUGUCACAUGCUCCAAGCAGCAGGGUGACUGGUACACGGCCUGGACCUACUGUAGAAUCCAGUCCUAGUCUGUACUUUGGUCAAGGCUGGCAGCCUUCUGUAUCACUUGACAGAUGCAGUAGCCCAAGUGUGAAAUAAAUAUGCUGCCUCCAGAACUGAAAAGAGGUCAAGCAAGUGUUAUGUUUCUUUUUUUGGUGGUGGAUGAUGCAAGAUGCAAUCAUUUGUCUGUUACUUUGCAGGGGAUGUUCUGGCAGGCCUCAUAUCACUGGAUCCUUAUCAAUUCAGUAACCCAGCAGGUCCCUGAAUCUUUAUAAGAUUUACUAUCUCACCAUUUGGACUCCAACAUAUUUCUUGAUCAUUUACUAUUGUCAAUAUGAUGUUAUCAAAAUAGAGGACUAUUGUGAUGUCCUGCAGGAUAUCCAGCUUGUCCAAGUCCCUUUGGACAAUUUUAUGACAGAUGACAGGAGAGUUAACAAAGUUCUGGGACAAGACUAUGGACAUACACUGCUGACUGCCCCAUGUGAAUGAAAAUGACAUUUAAUGGUCUACCUAGGAGCCUCUGCUGUGGUGCAACGGGAUUGUCAGCAUCUUGGGAGCACUGGGUCGCGGGUUUGAUCCCCGACCCAGCAGAGUGGGUUAAAGAUCUGGCAUUGCCGCAGCUGCAGCUGGGAUCUGAUCCCUGGCCCAAGAGUUCCAUAUGCUGUAGGACAGCAAAAAAA
RNAcentral lists this long non-coding RNA (5143 nucleotides) under Sus scrofa (pig). RNAcentral describes it as "lncRNA (ENSSSCG00025064921.1)". Lineage: Eukaryota; Metazoa; Chordata; Mammalia; Artiodactyla; Suidae. The record is from RNAcentral.